Molecule: ribosomal RNA, 753 nt
Filed under: Streptomyces sp.
Lineage: Bacteria; Bacillati; Actinomycetota; Actinomycetes; Kitasatosporales; Streptomycetaceae
Description: bacterial SSU rRNA
Rfam family: Bacterial small subunit ribosomal RNA
Source: RNAcentral
UAGUGGCGAACGGGUGAGUAACACGUGGGCAAUCUGCCCUUCACUCUGGGACAAGCCCUGGAAACGGGGUCUAAUACCGGAUAUCACUGCCACGGGCAUCCGUGGUGGUUGAAAGCUCCGGCGGUGAAGGAUGAGCCCGCGGCCUAUCAGCUUGUUGGUGAGGUAAUGGCUCACCAAGGCGACGACGGGUAGCCGGCCUGAGAGGGCGACCGGCCACACUGGGACUGAGACACGGCCCAGACUCCUACGGGAGGCAGCAGUGGGGAAUAUUGCACAAUGGGCGAAAGCCUGAUGCAGCGACGCCGCGUGAGGGAUGACGGCCUUCGGGUUGUAAACCUCUUUCAGCAGGGAAGAAGCGAAAGUGACGGUACCUGCAGAAGAAGCGCCGGCUAACUACGUGCCAGCAGCCGCGGUAAUACGUAGGGCGCAAGCGUUGUCCGGAAUUAUUGGGCGUAAAGAGCUCGUAGGCGGCUUGUCACGUCGGGUGUGAAAGCCCGGGGCUUAACCCCGGGUCUGCAUUCGAUACGGGCUAGCUAGAGUGUGGUAGGGGAGAUCGGAAUUCCUGGUGUAGCGGUGAAAUGCGCAGAUAUCAGGAGGAACACCGGUGGCGAAGGCGGAUCUCUGGGCCAUUACUGACGCUGAGGAGCGAAAGCGUGGGGAGCGAACAGGAUUAGAUACCCUGGUAGUCCACGCCGUAAACGGUGGGAACUAGGUGUUGGCGACAUUCCACGUCGUCGGUGCCGCAGCUAACGC